RNAcentral lists this ribosomal RNA (376 nucleotides) under uncultured bacterium. RNAcentral describes it as "bacterial SSU rRNA". It matches the Rfam family "Bacterial small subunit ribosomal RNA", at positions 521 to 895 of the family's 1533-position model. The record is from RNAcentral.
UAAUACAGAGGGGGCAAGUGUUGUUCGGAAUUACUGGGCGUAAAGGGCGCGUAGGCGGCCUGUUAAGUCGAACGUGAAAUCCCCGGGCUCAACCCGGGAACUGCGUCCGAUACUGGCAGGCUUGAAUCCGGGAGAGGGAUGCGGAAUUCCAGGUGUAGCGGUGAAAUGCGUAGAUAUCUGGAGGAACACCGGUGGCGAAGGCGGCAUCCUGGACCGGCAUUGACGCUGAGGCGCGAAAGCCAGGGGAGCAAACGGGAUUAGAUACCCCGGUAGUCCUGGCCCUAAACGAUGAAUGCUUGGUGUGGCGGGUAUCGAUCCCUGCCGUGCCGAAGCUAACGCAUUAAGCAUUCCGCCUGGGGAGUACGGUCGCAAGGCU